ACAAAGUUUUAUUUUAGCUUUUAAAUUUAUUAUUAAUUUAAUUUAUAUGUAAAUUUUUGUGUGAAAAUUUAUUUAUUUUAAUAAUUUAUAAAUUUUAUUUAUUCGCAAUAAUUGAUAUUAUUAAUUAAAGAAAUUUAGAGAAAGUAAUAUUAUUUAAGUAUUGACUAAAUUUGUGCCAGCAGUCGCGGUUAUACAAAUAAUGCAAAUAAAUUUUAUUAGUUUAAGUUAAAUGAAUAUUAUUUAAAAAAUAAUAAAUUUAUUAGGUGAAAUUAUUAAAUUUAUUAUUUUUAUAUUAAUUAUAAUUAAAGCUUAAAAAUUUUAUUAAUAAACUAGGAUUAGAUACCCUAUUAUUAAAAAUGUAAUUUUAAAAACUAAGGUAGUAAUAGAUAUGUUCUUGAAACUUAAAAAAUUUGGCGGUAUUUUAGUCUAUUCAGAGGAACCUGUUUUUUAAUCGAUAAUCCACGAUGGACCUUACUUAAAUUUGUUAUCAGUUUAUAUACCGUCGUUAUUAGAAUAUUUUAUAAGAAUGUUAAUAUUCUAAAUUUUUUAAAGAAAAUAUAUCAGAUCAAGGUGUAGCUUAUAUUUAAGUAAAAAUGGGUUACAAUAAAUUUAUUUAAAUGGAAAUAAAUUUGAAAUAUUUAUUGAAGGUGGAUUUGAUAGUAAAAUUAUAAAGAUUAAUAAUUUGAUUUUAGCUCUAAAAUAUGCACACAUCGCCCGUCACUCUUAUUAUUAAGGUAAGAUAAGUCGUAACAUAGUAGAUGUACUGGAAAGUGUAUCUAGAAUGCA
Molecule: non-coding RNA, 786 nt
Filed under: Palesisa nudioculata
Lineage: Eukaryota; Metazoa; Arthropoda; Insecta; Diptera; Tachinidae
Source: RNAcentral